Molecule: non-coding RNA, 29 nt
Filed under: Cricetulus griseus (Chinese hamster)
Lineage: Eukaryota; Metazoa; Chordata; Mammalia; Rodentia; Cricetidae
Source: RNAcentral
GCUAACCAAGUUUCACAGGACUGCUCAGC